AUGUCUGGAAGCACGGGAGAACGUUCUUUUGCUGAUAUUAUUACCAGUAUUCGAUACUGGGUUAUUCAUAGCAUUACUAUACCUUCCCUAUUCAUUGCGGGUUGGUUAUUUGUCAGUACGGGUUUAGCUUAUGACGUGUUUGGAAGUCCUAGGCCAAACGAGUAUUUCACGGAAAGCCGACAAGGAAUUCCGUUAAUAACCGACCGUUUUGAUUCUUUAGAACAACUCGACGAAUUUAGUAGAUCCUUUUAG
RNAcentral lists this ribosomal RNA (252 nucleotides) under Triticum aestivum (bread wheat). RNAcentral's name for it is "partial small subunit ribosomal RNA". Lineage: Eukaryota; Viridiplantae; Streptophyta; Magnoliopsida; Poales; Poaceae. The record is from RNAcentral.